This 253-nucleotide ribosomal RNA is filed under the name uncultured bacterium. RNAcentral's name for it is "partial 16S ribosomal RNA". It matches the Rfam family "Bacterial small subunit ribosomal RNA", at positions 524 to 776 of the family's 1533-position model. The record is from RNAcentral.
UACAGAGGCCCCAACCGUUGCUCGGAAUCACUGGGCGUAAAGGGUGCGUAGGCGGCAUGGCAAGUCAGAUGUGAAAUCCCGGGGCUCAACCUCGGAACUGCAUCCGAUACUACCGUGCUAGAGGACUGGAGGGGAAACUGGAAUUCUCGGUGUAGCAGUGAAAUGCGUAGAUAUCGUGAGGAACGCCAGUGGCGAAAGCGGGUUUCUGGACAGUCUCUGACGCUGAGGCACGAAGGCCAGGGGAGCGAACGGG